CCUACGGGGGGCAGCAGUGGGGAAUAUUGCACAAUGGGCGCAAGCCUGAUGCAGCCAUGCCGCGUGUGUGAAGAAGGCCUUCGGGUUGUAAAGCACUUUCAGCGGGGAGGAAGGCGUUAAGGUUAAUAACCUUGGCGAUUGACGUUACCCGCAGAAGAAGCACCGGCUAACUCCGUGCCAGCAGCCGCGGUAAUACGGAGGGUGCAAGCGUUAAUCGGAAUUACUGGGCGUAAAGCGCACGCAGGCGGUCUGUCAAGUCGGAUGUGAAAUCCCCGGGCUCAACCUGGGAACUGCAUUCGAAACUGGCAGGCUAGGGUCUUGUAGAGGGGGGUAGAAUUCCAGGUGUAGCGGUGAAAUGCGUAGAGAUCUGGAGGAAUACCGGUGGCGAAGGCGGCCCCCUGGACAAAGACUGACGCUCAGGUGCGAAAGCGUGGGGAGCAAACAGGAUUAGAUACCCCGGUAGUC
Molecule: ribosomal RNA, 465 nt
Filed under: uncultured Klebsiella sp.
Lineage: Bacteria; Pseudomonadati; Pseudomonadota; Gammaproteobacteria; Enterobacterales; Enterobacteriaceae
Description: bacterial SSU rRNA
Rfam family: Bacterial small subunit ribosomal RNA
Source: RNAcentral